This 271-nucleotide long non-coding RNA is filed under the name Musa acuminata (dwarf banana). RNAcentral describes it as "long non-coding RNA (MACU_LNC010192)". Lineage: Eukaryota; Viridiplantae; Streptophyta; Magnoliopsida; Zingiberales; Musaceae. The record is from RNAcentral.
UCAGAGAAAAAGCAGUGCCAAAGUAAGCAGUAGUCGGUUCUUUAAGUUGUUCUGCAAGUGUAGUUCUCGGGUAAGAAUAAAGUCAAGGAUCAGAAGGAACAGAAUCAUUAGAGUUCCCCGCCUAGGUAUUAUAGAUAUAAGUAACAAACCCGGCUCCGCUCGCUAACGCCAUAGAAGAAAGACUGGGCUAACGCACAACUACCAAAUAAGGAAUUGAGAAUUUGAUGCUAAACUAAACGAUCAGAAGCAGACGAAAGGCCUGCUCUUAAAG